RNAcentral lists this transfer RNA (72 nucleotides) under Triticum aestivum (bread wheat). It matches the Rfam family "tRNA". Rfam says of the family: Transfer RNA (tRNA) molecules are approximately 80 nucleotides in length. Their secondary structure includes four short double-helical elements and three loops (D, anti-codon, and T loops). The record is from Rfam by way of RNAcentral. Lineage: Eukaryota; Viridiplantae; Streptophyta; Magnoliopsida; Poales; Poaceae. RNAcentral also lists the same sequence under 1 other name.
UCCUCAGUAGCUCAGUGGUAGAGCGGUCGGCUGUUAACUGACUGGUCGUAGGUUUUAAUCCUACUUGGGAAG